CAAUUAAAAACUAUUUAAUAAAAAUACAUACUGUGCAGAAGUGGGUGUUUUCAAUUAUUCUCUAUAAAAGCUGAUCAGGGAUCUUCUGCAGAGGAUUGUGGGUUUGAACGUGGGGUGAAGAAAGUGUUGAGAGCAUCCAGAAAUUAAGGGUGCAUUCACACCUGUCUUGUUUGGUUCGAUUGAAUCGAACUCAAGUUUGUUUCCCCCCUUGAUGCAGAUCUCACUCGGGUGUGGACCAAACAACUGCACCGAGACCCAGCUGAAGAGGUAGUCUCGGUCCACUUCCAAAUGAACUCUGGGAAAUACUACACUGGUGCCGAAACCCGGGAGUGGAAAGAGAAUGACGUCGCCACGAUGCAAACACCUUCAGGACCAUCGGGAUCGCCAUUUGCAGAGAUCAUCACAUCGCUCGUGGGUCUACAUCAAGAAAACCACCAAGACCUGCUGGACUUGCGGGCGGACCAGGACCAUCGGUUCCAAGCCCUGAUGCAAGCCCAGCAGGAGGACCACAAGCUGUUCCGGAGCUUGCUGGACCGGGAGGUUCAGACGAGGUCGGCUUCCCCCAGUUUCAUCCCCCCCACUCACAUGUCUCUCACCAAGAUGGGGCCCGCGGAUGACCCAGAGGCUUUCCUGGACUUGUUUGAGAGGAUGGCCGAGGCAUGUGAGUGGGCAUCGACCAGCUGGCCAGUGCGGUUGAUUCCGCUGCUGUUGGGGGAAGCCCAGAAGGCUGCCCAACAACUGCCCAUCCAAAACCUCCUAGUGUACGCAGACUUAAAAUGGGCAAUCCUCCAGAGGGUCGGCCUCAGUCCAGAACAGCACCAUCAAUGCUUCCGAUCAUUGGAAUUGACGGAAGCAGGCCGACCCUUUGUCUUGGCCCAGCAGCUCUGGGACUCGUGCCGCAAAUGGCUGUUGGCCGGAGGAAGCGAUGCCGAGGCCAUCCUCGACAAGGUGGUACUGGAGCAGUUCGUCUCCUGUCUGCCGAGGAGGAAGGCCCAGUGGGUCCAGUGCCACCAGCCGGCGUCGAUGGAUCUGGCCAUCCAACUGGCGGAGGACCAGUUGGUGGCAUGCUCCGGUGUCGGCCAACCCCUCCCAUCUAUCUCUCUCUCUCUCUCUCUCUCUCUCUCUCUCUUCCCUUGUUCCUCUUUCUUCCUCUUCCCCUAAUCCCGUUCCCAGGACCCGUUUUGCUGGCCCACCGAGGGCCGCCCCCCCGCUGGAGGAUGGGAACCGAGGCCCCGCCCGGGGAGUGGGGGCACCCCACCAGGAGGGGCUCAACGAGGCUCCUACCAUCUCCCCACGCCAAUUCCUUGACCCACUUCCUGCCACUAGGGCGGCGGGGAAGCCUGGGCCAGCCUGUUGGCUUUGCGGGGAUCUGGGCCAUUUUGUGGAUCGAUGCCCAGCCAUGGAGGUGGGGACAUUGGUCCGGAUCCCAGAUGACCUGCAGGCCGCCCCCAAUCAAGCCGGGUUAUACCAGAUACCUUAAUUGGCGUGGGGAGACGGUAUAUAAGCGAGGAAGAAGAGAUAGCUGAGGACUCGUGGGGACUAGGAAGCCGGAAGCCAGAGAAAUUCAGACGAAUAUUGUGAGAAAGUGAAUAAGUGUGUGCAUGUAGCACAAUUGUUUUUGUUAUUGUAAAUAAAAUACCCACGUGCCUCAGACAGCCGACCCCGGUCUCCUUCCUUCUCACAAGAACAAGGGAAAUACUACAAUAUUUAAAAAAAAAAAGUUUUUCAAGGAGCAAGAGAAUAUAUUUAAAUGUUUUAUUUAUUUUACAAUGUUUUUGACAAUACAGAG
Molecule: long non-coding RNA, 1789 nt
Organism: Cyprinus carpio carpio
Lineage: Eukaryota; Metazoa; Chordata; Actinopteri; Cypriniformes; Cyprinidae
Source: Ensembl